CAAAAUAAAUACUGCUUUAUUGUGCAGAAUACAAAAAUGUCGACAUUUCAGUCACAAUAGACUUUUCUCAAGACCUUGAGAAAAGUCUAUUGUGACUGAAACGUCGACAUUUUUGUAUUCUGCACAAUAAAGCAGUAUUUAUUUUGAUAUAAAACGAAGACUCCAGAGUGCUCUCUACUU
RNAcentral lists this small RNA (180 nucleotides) under Pelobates cultripes (western spadefoot toad). The record is from RNAcentral. Lineage: Eukaryota; Metazoa; Chordata; Amphibia; Anura; Pelobatidae.